This 557-nucleotide ribosomal RNA is filed under the name uncultured Methylobacterium sp. Its description in RNAcentral is "bacterial SSU rRNA". It matches the Rfam family "Bacterial small subunit ribosomal RNA", at positions 102 to 694 of the family's 1533-position model. The record is from RNAcentral. Lineage: Bacteria; Pseudomonadati; Pseudomonadota; Alphaproteobacteria; Hyphomicrobiales; Methylobacteriaceae.
ACGGGUGAGUAACGCGUGGGAACGUGCCUUCCGGUUCGGAAUAACCCUGGGAAACUAGGGCUAAUACCGGAUACGCCCUUAUGGGGAAAGGUUUACUGCCGGAAGAUCGGCCCGCGUCUGAUUAGCUAGUCGGUGGGGUAACGGCCUACCAAGGCGACGAUCAGUAGCUGGUCUGAGAGGAUGAUCAGCCACACUGGGACUGAGACACGGCCCAGACUCCUACGGGAGGCAGCAGUGGGGAAUAUUGGACAAUGGGCGCAAGCCUGAUCCAGCCAUGCCGCGUGAGUGAUGAAGGCCUUAGGGUUGUAAAGCUCUUUUAUCCGGGACGAUAAUGACGGUACCGGAGGAAUAAGCCCCGGCUAACUUCGUGCCAGCAGCCGCGGUAAUACGAAGGGGGCUAGCGUUGCUCGGAAUCACUGGGCGUAAAGGGCGCGUAGGCGGCGUUUUAAGUCGGGGGUGAAAGCCUGUGGCUCAACCACAGAAUGGCCUUCGAUACUGGGACGCUUGAGUAUGGUAGAGGUUGGUGGAACUGCGAGUGUAGAGGUGAAAUUCGUAGA